This 497-nucleotide ribosomal RNA is filed under the name uncultured bacterium. Its description in RNAcentral is "partial 16S ribosomal RNA". It matches the Rfam family "Bacterial small subunit ribosomal RNA", at positions 28 to 507 of the family's 1533-position model. The record is from RNAcentral.
GAUGAACGCUGGCGGCGUGCCUAAUACAUGCAAGUCGAGCGAACAGACGAGGAGCUUGCUCCUCUGACGUUAGCGGCGGACGGGUGAGUAACACGUGGAUAACCUACCUAUAAGACUGGGAUAACUUCGGGAAACCGGAGCUAAUACCGGAUAAUAUAUUGAACCGCAUGGUUCAAUAGUGAAAGACGGUUUUGAUGUCACUUAUAGAUGGAUCCGCGCCGCAUUAGCUAGUUGGUAAGGUAACGGCUUACCAAGGCAACGAUGCGUAGCCGACCCGAGAGGGUGAUCGGCCACACUGGAACUGAGACACGGUCCAGACUCCUACGGGAGGCAGCAGUAGGGAAUCUUCCGCAAUGGGCGAAAGCUUGACGGAGCAACGCCGCGUGAGUGAUGAAGGUCUUCGGAUCGUAAAACUCUGUUAUUAGGGAAGAACAAAUGUGUAAGUAACUAUGCACGUCUUGACGGUACCUAAUCAGAAAGCCACGGCCAACUACGUG